GAUGAACGCUGGCGGCGUGCCUAAUACAUGCAAGUCGAGCGAACGGACGAGAAGCUUGCUUCUCUGAUGUUAGCGGCGGACGGGUGAGUCACACGUGGAUAACCUACUUAUAAGACUGGGAUAAUUUCGGGAAACCGUAGCUUAUACCGGAUAAUAUCUUGAACCGCAUGGUUCAAAAGUGAAAGACGGUCUUGCUGUCACUAAUAGAGGCUUCCGCGCUGCUUUAGCUAGUUGGUAAGGUAACGGCUUACCAAGGCAACGAUGCGUAGCCGACCUGAGAGAGGGGUCGGCCGCCUGAGAGCUGAACCAGCGACAAGAGGCCUGAGAGACGCAGCAGUAGGGAAUGUUACGCAGUAGGCGAGAGCCUGGCAGAGCGGCGCCGCGUGUGAGGUAGAGGUCUUCGGUGCGUGAAGAUCUGUUAUUAGGGGAGAACAUAUGUGUAAGUAGAUGAGCACAUAUUGACGGUACCUGAUCAGGAAGCCACGGCUAACUACGUG
Molecule: ribosomal RNA, 497 nt
Filed under: uncultured bacterium
Lineage: Bacteria
Description: partial 16S ribosomal RNA
Rfam family: Bacterial small subunit ribosomal RNA
Source: RNAcentral